Molecule: ribosomal RNA, 728 nt
Filed under: uncultured bacterium
Lineage: Bacteria
Description: bacterial SSU rRNA
Rfam family: Bacterial small subunit ribosomal RNA
Source: RNAcentral
AACAGGAUUAGAUACCCUGGUAGUCCACGCCGUAAACGAUGUCGACUUGGAGGUUGUGCCCUUGAGGCGUGGCUUCCGGAGCUAACGCGUUAAGUCGACCGCCUGGGGAGUACGGCCGCAAGGUUAAAACUCAAAUGAAUUGACGGGGGCCCGCACAAGCGGUGGAGCAUGUGGUUUAAUUCGAUGCAACGCGAAGAACCUUACCUGGUCUUGACAUCCACGGAAGUUUUCAGAGAUGAGAAUGUGCCUUCGGGAACCGUGAGACAGGUGCUGCAUGGCUGUCGUCAGCUCGUGUUGUGAAAUGUUGGGUUAAGUCCCGCAACGAGCGCAACCCUUAUCCUUUGUUGCCAGCGGUCCGGCCGGGAACUCAAAGGAGACUGCCAGUGAUAAACUGGAGGAAGGUGGGGAUGACGUCAAGUCAUCAUGGCCCUUACGACCAGGGCUACACACGUGCUACAAUGGCGCAUACAAAGAGAAGCGACCUCGCGAGAGCAAGCGGACCUCAUAAAGUGCGUCGUAGUCCGGAUUGGAGUCUGCAACUCGACUCCAUGAAGUCGGAAUCGCUAGUAAUCGUGAAUCAGAAUGUCACGGUGAAUACGUUCCCGGGCCUUGUACACACCGCCCGUCACACCAUGGGAGUGGACUGCACCAGAAGUGGUUAGCCUAACUUCGGAGGGCGAUCACCACGGUGUGGUUCAUGACUGGGGUGAAGUCGUAACAAGGUAACC